RNAcentral lists this long non-coding RNA (408 nucleotides) under Mytilus galloprovincialis (Mediterranean mussel). Lineage: Eukaryota; Metazoa; Mollusca; Bivalvia; Mytilida; Mytilidae. The record is from RNAcentral.
UUUUUAAGGGCACACCAACAAUCCCCUAACCUCGGGACUGGAUUCGUGUGUACCAGUGCAACACGCUUUAUACCAAAUCAACCCUUAUCUCCAUCAUGUUCAUUUUCAUCAACUGUCACAAUAACAAUAACGGUACCAUUUUUUCUGCACCAGAUGCGCAUUUCGACAAUACAUGUCUCUUCAGUGAUGUUCGUAGCCAAAAUAUGUGAAAUCCAAAGCUUAUAUUAAAGAUGAAGAGCUAUAAUCCAAAAGUUCCAAAAAGUAUAGCCAAAUCCGUGAAAUGAAUCAGAGCUUCGCAUGAGGAGAUACAUUCCUUAAUUUAUAAUAAUUUCUAACAUUUUGACAUGUUUUAAUAUUUCUACACAUUUCACUCAUGGCCACAGGUCUGCACAUGAAAGGUUCUGCUCA